AGUGAACGCUGGCGGUAGGCCUAACACAUGCAAGUCGAACGGCAGCACAGUAAGAGCUUGCUCUUACGGGUGGCGAGUGGCGGACGGGUGAGGAAUACAUCGGAAUCUACUUUUUCGUGGGGGAUAACGUAGGGAAACUUACGCUAAUACCGCAUACGACCUACGGGUGAAAGCAGGGGAUCUUCGGACCUUGCGCGAUUGAAUGAGCCGAUGUCGGAUUAGCUAGUUGGCGGGGUAAAGGCCCACCAAGGCGACGAUCCGUAGCUGGUCUGAGAGGAUGAUCCGCCACACUGGAACUGAGACACGGUCCAGACUCCUACGGGAGGCAGCAGUGGGGAAUAUUGGACAAUGGGGGCAAGCCUGAUCCAGCCAUACCGCGUGGGUGAAGAAGGCCUUCGGGUUGUAAAGCCCUUUUGUUGGGAAAGAAAAGCAGCAGGUUAAUACCCCGCUGUUCUGACGGUACCCAAAGAAUAAGCACCGGCUAACUUCGUG
Molecule: ribosomal RNA, 492 nt
Filed under: uncultured bacterium
Lineage: Bacteria
Description: partial 16S ribosomal RNA
Rfam family: Bacterial small subunit ribosomal RNA
Source: RNAcentral